RNAcentral lists this ribosomal RNA (459 nucleotides) under uncultured bacterium. RNAcentral's name for it is "partial 16S ribosomal RNA". It matches the Rfam family "Bacterial small subunit ribosomal RNA", at positions 338 to 795 of the family's 1533-position model. The record is from RNAcentral.
CCUACGGGUGGCAGCAGUGAGGAAUAUUGGUCAAUGGACGAGAGUCUGAACCAGCCAAGUAGCGUGAAGGAUGACUGCCCUAUGGGUUGUAAACUUCUUUUAUAUGGGAAUAAGACAGGGUAUGCAUACUGUCUUGUAUGUACCAUAUGAAUAAGGAUCGGCUAACUCCGUGCCAGCAGCCGCGGUAAUACGGAGGAUCCGAGCGUUAUCCGGAUUUAUUGGGUUUAAGGGGAGCGUAGGUGGAUUGUUAAGUCAGUGGUAAAAAUUCGGGGCUCAACCCCGUCGUGCCGUUGAAACUGAUGUGCUUGAGUGGGCGAGAAGUAGGCGGAAUGCGUGGUGUAGCGGUGAAAUGCAUAGAUAUCACGCAGAACUCCGAUUGCGAAGGCAGCAUACCGGCGCCCAACUGACGCUGAAGCACGAAAGCGUGGGUAUCGAACAGGAUUAGAUACCCGGGUAGUC